This 504-nucleotide long non-coding RNA is filed under the name Prunus persica (peach). RNAcentral describes it as "long non-coding RNA (PPER_LNC006214)". Lineage: Eukaryota; Viridiplantae; Streptophyta; Magnoliopsida; Rosales; Rosaceae. The record is from RNAcentral.
UCAAAUGUUGAUGUUGGAAAAUGGAUUCAACUUAGAAGUGAUCUUGCCUUCGGUUGAUUGCGUCCUGCAGCAGAUGUAGAAUGUAGAAUGAAAGACCUUAGGCACCGGUUUGGUAUUGGUCGAAGGCUCUCGAAUGCUUAAGUUAUCUUAAGGACGGAGUGUGUGACGUAAUUGGAUAGAGUAAGGGUACUAGAGCCGAAUUACUAUUACCCGGUGCUUUGGGACGAGAGCCCUAUUUAUAGAGGAAAGAGGUGGAGCACAUUGGGUCAUUACUUUGAUCGUUGGCGUCACCCGAGGGGCUGCCACAUGUCCCUAAAUGGAAGUGGUAUGGCAGGUACCUUCGUUUGGCCGAAUCUACAUGUGAGAUUUCCAAAGGCUAAUCCCUACUGAUGGUCGUUGUGAACCCUGGUGGCUGGGCUAGGACGUAUAGGCCUUUAAUUUGGAUCAUUUGUCCUAUGUGUCCUAGUUGAGAGGGUCCGGUCAGAUAUGGCAAAACAUGAAAAU